Molecule: transfer RNA, 72 nt
Filed under: Pangasius djambal
Lineage: Eukaryota; Metazoa; Chordata; Actinopteri; Siluriformes; Pangasiidae
Description: tRNA-Glu
Source: RNAcentral
UCCCUGGAGGACUAGUGGUUAGGCCUCGGCGCUCUCACCACCGCAGCCCAGGUUCAGUUCCUGGCCAGGGAA